UUUCCCUCGGGAUGGCUGGCAGUCUUCCAAAACCCACCCCAUGUGGUUUCAUCCAUAAAGCAAAUGAUUGGAGGUUUUAGGACCCGAAGGAUCUCCACCUACUCUCACACUUUAAAUGGGUAAGAAGCCCGGCUUGCUGGUGCGUGAAGCUGGGUAUGGAAUGCGAGUGCCUAGUGGGCCACUUCUGGUAAGCAUACUUGGCACUGUGGGAUGAACUG
Macaca mulatta (Rhesus monkey) is the source of this 218-nucleotide non-coding RNA. The record is from Rfam. NCBI's taxonomy places the organism in Eukaryota, Metazoa, Chordata, Mammalia, Primates, Cercopithecidae.